RNAcentral lists this ribosomal RNA (253 nucleotides) under uncultured bacterium. Its description in RNAcentral is "partial 16S ribosomal RNA". It matches the Rfam family "Bacterial small subunit ribosomal RNA", at positions 524 to 776 of the family's 1533-position model. The record is from RNAcentral.
UACGGGGGGGGCAAGCGUUGUUCGGAAUUACUGGGCGUAAAGGGCUCGUAGGUGGUCAACUAAGUCGGACGUGAAAUCCCUCGGCUUAACCGGGGAACUGCGUCCGAUACUGGAUGACUUGAGUUCGGGAGAGGGAUGCGGAAUUCCAGGUGUAGCGGUGAAAUGCGUAGAUAUCUGGAGGAACACCGGUGGCGAAGGCGGCAUCCUGGACCGACACUGACGCUGAGGAGCGAAAGCGUGGGGAGCAAACAGG